RNAcentral lists this long non-coding RNA (949 nucleotides) under Medicago truncatula (barrel medic). RNAcentral describes it as "lncRNA gene3365". The record is from RNAcentral. Lineage: Eukaryota; Viridiplantae; Streptophyta; Magnoliopsida; Fabales; Fabaceae.
UGCAUAAACCAUCCACAAUCAAACAAUAUAUAUAAUAUAACAUUAACAUGGUCAUAAGAUAACUAAACAAAAAAUAAUAGAAAAACAAAAGCACAACACCUAUAGUGGAAUCUGAAUCCUAGUAGCUUCUUGAACCAAAGCAGUUCUAGCAGUCACAAUUUUGCUAUUAGAAAUUAAAGGAGGAUCAAAUGUUGUGCAAUCUAUCCAAUCCUUCAAGUACUCUUCUUGUCCCCACAUAUCUGGAAUCCAUACUCUUCCACCCAUUUCAACUCUAUGUCUCUUCAACCUCUCUCUUCCACUUUCUUCUUCCUCAACAAUAGGCAAAACCAUCUUCUUCAAAUAUGCUAUUUCAAUCUUUGUGUCAUCUUCUUCUUCUUCUUCUUUGAGUUGAUGAGGUUUCUUCAUUUCAAGAUCAAUUAGGUCAUGAGAUUUAGUAGAUGAUUGGUGAGUCAUUGUAGUAGUAUUUGUGUUUGUGUUUGUGUUGUUCUCUUUCAUGCAAAACAGGACCAUAUUGAAGAAUGUAUAUAGUGUUGAUAUUUUAAUUUCUGUGUGCUAUGAAUAUUAUUUUUGAGUCUUGGUUUUGUGUGACAGUGUAUGGGGAAGAAAAUUAAAGGCAUGAGGAGAAUGAAAUGAGUGGGAAAUUAGUUCACACGUCACCCCACAAGACAAGACUACGAGGGGUUCUUUUGUAUGGUAUGUGACAAACGUACGUGUCUUGUUUCAUGUGGGACUUUUAUAAUGUGUGGUUUGGAAUUUGGAUGUUGGUUCUCAACUUGCAAAAAUAAGGAAUUUUCUAUUGGAAAAUGAUAUAUAUUGAAAGAGAGUGGUGAGGGAUGAUCGAUACCUUGGAUGGAUAUUUUGGAGGAUUGUGAGGUUGACGUUGGUCUUCUAUAUAUCAUGUAUUCUUGGCUUCUAUUUCAAUCAAUUAGCAUUGAGAAUUUGAUUUUUU